AUUGAACGCUGGCGGCAGGCCUAACACAUGCAAGUCGAACGAGUGGCGGACGGGUGAGGAAUGUCUGGGAAACUGCCUGAUGGAGGGGGAUAACUACUGGAAACGGUAGCUAAUACCGCAUACCAUCAGAUGUGCCCAGAUGGGAUUAGCUAGUUGGUGGGGUAACGGCUCACCAAGGCGACGAUCCCUAGCUGGGCUGAGAGGAUGAACAACCACACUGUGACUGAGACACGGUCCAGACUCCUACGAGAAGCAGCAGUUGAGACUAUUGCACAAUGGGCGCAAGCCUGAUGAGGCCAUGCCGCGUGGAUGAAGAAGGCCUUCGGGUUGUAAAGUACUUUCAGCGGGGAGGCAUUCCCCGCAGAAGAAGCCCCGACUAACUCCGUGCCAGCAGCCGCGGUAAUAC
Molecule: ribosomal RNA, 406 nt
Filed under: uncultured bacterium
Lineage: Bacteria
Description: partial 16S ribosomal RNA
Rfam family: Bacterial small subunit ribosomal RNA
Source: RNAcentral